AGAGCGAACGCUGGCGGCAGGCUUAACACAUGCAAGUCGAGCGCCCGUAGCAAUACGGGAGCGGCAGACGGGAUAGUAACACGUGGGAACGCGCCCUUCGGUUCGGAAUAACUCAGGGAAACUUGAGCUAAUACCGGAUACGCCCUUACGGGGAAAGAUUUAUUGCCGAAGGAACGGCCCGCGUCCGAUUAGCUAGUUGGUGAGGUAAUGGCUCACCAAGGCGACGAUCGGUAGCUGGUCUGAGAGGAUGACCAGCAUCACUGGGACUGAGACACGGCCCAGACUCCUACGGGAGGCAGCAGUGGGGAAUAUUGGACAAUGGGCGCAAGCCUGAUUCAGCCAUGCCGCGUGGAUGAUGAAGGCCUUAGGGUUGUAAAGUCCUUUAACGGGGAAGAUAAUGACGGUACCCGUAGAAUAAGCCCGGCUAACUUCGUGCCAGCAGCCGC
RNAcentral lists this ribosomal RNA (446 nucleotides) under uncultured bacterium. RNAcentral's name for it is "SSU rRNA". It matches the Rfam family "Bacterial small subunit ribosomal RNA", at positions 26 to 518 of the family's 1533-position model. The record is from RNAcentral.